AGGAAAGCAGGGGAUCGCAAGACCUUGCGCUCUUUGAGCGGCCGAUGUCUGAUUAGCUAGUUGGUGAGGUAAAGGCUUACCAAGGCGACGAUCAGUAGCUGGUCUGAGAGGACGACCAGCCACACUGGGACUGAGACACGGCCCAGACUCCUACGGGAGGCAGCAGUGGGGAAUUUUGGACAAUGGGGGAAACCCUGAUCCAGCCAUGCCGCGUGAGUGAAGAAGGCCUUCGGGUUGUAAAGCUCUUUCAGCCGGAACGAAACGGUCACGGCUAAUACCUGUGACUACUGACGGUACCGGAAGAAGAAGCACCGGCUAACUACGUGCCAGCAGCCGCGGUAAUACGUAGGGUGCAAGCGUUAAUCGGAAUUACUGGGCGUAAAGCGUGCGCAGGCGGUUUUGUAAGUCAGAUGUGAAAUCCCCGGGCUUAACCUGGGAACUGCGUUUGAAACUACAAGGCU
This 461-nucleotide ribosomal RNA is filed under the name uncultured beta proteobacterium. RNAcentral's name for it is "bacterial SSU rRNA". It matches the Rfam family "Bacterial small subunit ribosomal RNA", at positions 200 to 642 of the family's 1533-position model. The record is from RNAcentral. Lineage: Bacteria; Pseudomonadati; Pseudomonadota; Betaproteobacteria.